GGAAUAUUGGACAAUGGGGGAAACCCUGAUCCAGCCAUGCCGCGUGAGUGAAGAAGGCCCUAGGGUUGUAAAGCUCUUUCAGGUGGGAAGAUGAUGACGGUACCACCAGAAGAAGCCCCGGCUAACUCCGUGCCAGCAGCCGCGGUAAUACGGAGGGGGCUAGCGUUGUUCGGAAUUACUGGGCGUAAAGCGCACGUAGGCGGUUUGCCUAGUCAGAUGUGAAAGCCCCGGGCUCAACCCGGGAACUGCAUUUGAUACUGGCAGGCUAGAGUCCGGGAGAGGGUAGUGGAAUUCCCAGUGUAGAGGUGAAAUUCGUAGAUAUUGGGAAGAACACCAGUGGCGAAGGCGGCUACCUGGACCGGUACUGACGCUGAGGUGCGAAAGCGUGGGGAGCA
RNAcentral lists this ribosomal RNA (395 nucleotides) under uncultured bacterium. RNAcentral describes it as "bacterial SSU rRNA". It matches the Rfam family "Bacterial small subunit ribosomal RNA", at positions 358 to 770 of the family's 1533-position model. The record is from RNAcentral.